Molecule: ribosomal RNA, 494 nt
Filed under: uncultured bacterium
Lineage: Bacteria
Description: partial 16S ribosomal RNA
Rfam family: Bacterial small subunit ribosomal RNA
Source: RNAcentral
GACGAACGCUGGCGGCGCGCUUAACACAUGCAAGUCGAACGGAAAGGCCUGCUUUCCCUUGUGGAUUGCGGGUACUCGAGUGGCGAACGGGUGAGUAACACGUGAGUGAUCUGCCCCCAACUUGGGUAUAAGCCUGGGAAACUGGGUCUAAUUCCCGAUAGGACUGCAGGGUGGUGCCUGUGGUGGAAAACGAUUUUCUAGUGGUUGGGGAUGAGCUCGCGGCCUAUCAGCUUGUUGGUGGGGUAAUGGCCUACCAAGGCGGCGACGGGUAGCCGGCCUGGGAUGGUGGACGGCCACAUUGGGACUGAGUUCCGGCCCAGACUCCUACGGGAGGCAGCAGUGGGGAAUAUUGCACAAUGGGCGGAAGCCUGAUGCAGCGACGCCGCGUGGGGGAUGACGGCCUUCGGGUUGUAAACUCCUUUCGACCGCGAGGAAGCCACCUGGUUGGAAGGGUGGUGACGGUAGUGGUAGAAGAAGCACCGGCUAACUACGUG